RNAcentral lists this ribosomal RNA (434 nucleotides) under uncultured bacterium. RNAcentral describes it as "partial 16S ribosomal RNA". It matches the Rfam family "Bacterial small subunit ribosomal RNA", at positions 29 to 507 of the family's 1533-position model. The record is from RNAcentral.
AGCGAACGCUGGCGGCAGGCCUAACACAUGCAAGUCGAACGAACCUUUCGGGGUUAGUGGCGGACGGGUGAGUAACACGUGGGAACGUGCCUUUAGGUUCUGAAUAACUCAGGGAAACUUGUGCUAAUACCGAAUGUGCCCUUCGGGGGAAAGAUUAAUCGCCUUUAGAGCGGCCCGCGUCUGAUUAGCUAGUUGGUUGAGGUAAUGGCUCACCAAGGCGACGAUCAGUAGCUGGUCUGAGAGGAUGAUCAGCCACAUUGGGACUGAGACACGGCCCAAACUCCUACGGGAGGCAGCAGUGGGGAAUCUUGCGCAAUGGGCGAAAGCCUGACGCAGCCAUGCCGCGUGAAUGAUGAAGGUCUUAGGAUUGUAAAAUUCUUUCACCGGGGACGAUAAUGACGGUACCCGGAGAAGAAGCCCCGGCUAACUUCGUG